GCCGGUAUGAUGGAAUUGGCAGACGUGACGGACUCAAAAUCCGUUGGUAGCGAUACCGUGUCGGUUCGACCCCGACUACCGGCACCA
RNAcentral lists this transfer RNA (87 nucleotides) under Oscillospiraceae bacterium. Its description in RNAcentral is "tRNA-Leu". It matches the Rfam family "tRNA". Rfam says of the family: Transfer RNA (tRNA) molecules are approximately 80 nucleotides in length. Their secondary structure includes four short double-helical elements and three loops (D, anti-codon, and T loops). Lineage: Bacteria; Bacillati; Bacillota; Clostridia; Eubacteriales; Oscillospiraceae. RNAcentral also lists the same sequence under 4 other names. The record is from RNAcentral.